GAAACGAACGGGGAUGGGGUCCCCCACAACCGCCGCGCAGGCUGAUGACUCCUACCGGUUA
Molecule: non-coding RNA, 61 nt
Filed under: Alphaproteobacteria bacterium
Lineage: Bacteria; Pseudomonadati; Pseudomonadota; Alphaproteobacteria
Description: Fluoride sequence
Rfam family: Fluoride riboswitch aptamer (crcB RNA motif)
Source: RNAcentral